UGCCAGCAGCCGCGGUAAUACGGAGGGUGCAAGCGUUGCUAGGAAUCACUGGGCGUAAAGCGUACGCAGGCGGUUCAUUAAGUCGGGUGUGAAAGCCCAGAGCUCAACUCUGGAACUGCGCCCGAUACUGGUGGACUUGAGUACGGAAGAGGGAAGCGGAAUUCUGGGUGUAGAGGUGAAAUUCGUAGAUAUCCAGAGGAACACCAGUGGCGAAGGCAGCUUACUGGACGAUAACUGACGCUGAGGCACGAAAGCGUGGGGAGCGAAAAGGAUUAGAUA
This 279-nucleotide ribosomal RNA is filed under the name uncultured bacterium. Its description in RNAcentral is "partial 16S ribosomal RNA". It matches the Rfam family "Bacterial small subunit ribosomal RNA", at positions 506 to 784 of the family's 1533-position model. The record is from RNAcentral.